UACGUAGGGUGCGAGCGUUAAUCGGAAUUACUGGGCGUAAAGCGUGCGCAGGCGGUUUUGUAAGUCAGAUGUGAAAGCCCCGGGCUUAACCUGGGAAUGGCAUUUGGGACUGCAAGGCUUGAGUGCGGCAGAGGAGACUGGAAUUCCUGGUGUAGCAGUGAAAUGCGUAGAUAUCAGGAGGAAUACCGAUGGCGAAGGCAGGUCUCUGGGCUGACACUGACGCUCAUGCACGAAAGCGUGGGGAUCAAACAGG
Molecule: ribosomal RNA, 253 nt
Filed under: uncultured bacterium
Lineage: Bacteria
Description: partial 16S ribosomal RNA
Rfam family: Bacterial small subunit ribosomal RNA
Source: RNAcentral